GUUGAGAUGGCGCCGGCGGUGGCGAAGACGGGGCUGUUCGUGGGGCUGAACAAGGACCACUUUGUCACCAAGCGCGGAGCUCCCGCCUCGCCCUUCCGCCCUCGAAGGAGGAAGUUGCUGAAUUGGCACCGCAUUAUCACUUAGCUUCUGUGGAUUUGUUAGGACUAGCAUGCUCUUAAGUUGGCUAAAAGAAAGCUUGGACGCACACGAAAGCUAAGAAGAAGCGUGAGAAGAUGCUCAAUGUUCUUAGGAGGAUGAGAUCUGCGAAGUGAAGCGGCGCAACUUGCUAAGAAGUGCUGCCGUUGUGUUGAGAAUUGACUACUCAGUUCUGAUAGACAGAAUUUUGCAGGACGUAUCUAGUGAAGGAAACCGAGCUUACACAUGGAUACUCAUUUGACUGAAAGUAGAUAAUAGAAGGUCUUGAUUCCUUCUUAUGAGGUUCUGUCAGUGUUCUGGCUGUAUAUUUUCUCAGUUUUAUGAAACACUUGAAUAUGCUGAUAGUCUGGGUUUGCCGUUACACUGUUGGAUCAAGUUUUGUGUUUUGUGAGGGACUAAGCAGCUAGAGCAACCUAUAUCUUGGUGAUGUAGUAUCUAAUAUGAGUUGUGUCUUGUUCCAUCAGUUGCUUUUACAGAGAAAUAUAUGUUUCCACUGCUCUGAAGGCAUCA
Panicum virgatum (switchgrass) is the source of this 666-nucleotide long non-coding RNA. RefSeq lists it as uncharacterized. The transcript is spliced from 3 exons. The record is from RefSeq and is a predicted model, not a curated record. NCBI's taxonomy places the organism in Eukaryota, Viridiplantae, Streptophyta, Magnoliopsida, Poales, Poaceae.